Long non-coding RNA from Amblyraja radiata (thorny skate), 231 nucleotides. RefSeq lists it as uncharacterized. The record is from RefSeq and is a predicted model, not a curated record. The transcript has 3 exons. Lineage: Eukaryota; Metazoa; Chordata; Chondrichthyes; Rajiformes; Rajidae.
CUACUACCCUCUGCAGUUGUAUCAUGAAUGAAGAUAAGUGAGCCAGUACCUUCAGCAGCCAUACAUGCCCAUGCCAUAACUCCCCCACCACCGUGUCUCACAUAUGUGUUGGUAUGCUUUGGAUCUUGGGCAGUUCCUUCUCUCCUCCCUACUUUGUUCUUGCCUUCACUCUGGUAUAAGUUCAUCUUCGUCUCAUCUGUCCACAACACCUUUUUCCAGAACUGUGGUUGC